CAAUUCCUGUUGAGGUACUAUCCACUGAGAUGUUUCUCCUGUGACAGAGUUCAGACAGACUGGCUGAUCUAGAGUGACAUGUGCUGUGUCCUGCUGGGGAAACACAGUGGAGCUAGAUGAGGCUGGACAAGGAGAAAAGACAGGACUUCUAAGUGGUGCAGCUGGACUGAAGAGUUCCUAAAGUGAACAACCUGGGCUAAUCUGUUACAAGCUCAAUUCUCAGAUCCCCUCAGGAACAAAGGGGAAAAUCCAUAAUGCUGAGUCAGGGCUGCUGCAGCUCCCCUUGCCUCCGGUCCAACCAGUAAUGAUGUUGAAGAUACUUCCCAGUUUCUCCAUCAGCAAUUCAGAUUGCAGUUGAAAAACCAUUAAAAAUAGCACAACUCAUUACUAAGUCUGAAGACUGCGCACAGAAUUCAUAUGUUGUGCAGGAAGAUGAGAGUGAGAGGGACAGCAGCCCACGUGACAGGUAUGUCAUUUUAACAAGUAUUUUGUUUAGGAAGCUGUUUAAGCUGUGUUACUAUCCAGAGAAAUUCUCCCUUUCAAAAGCAAUAGUGACAGGAAGAGAAACAAUGAUUAGAAAGCAAUUUAAAGAGCCUAGUGGGGCAGAAAAUGUGCUUGCCACAGCCACACAAAGCAAAUGUAGUUACAGUUGGCUGGCAAAGAGGCAGUCAAGCAUCAGUAGAAACAAGAAAUACCUCUUGUCCCGAAGAUAUUGAAAUCUACAGCAGAAAAUUACUUUUCUACCUAGUACCUCAGAAAUAAGAGUAUAAUUACACGUAACCCAGGAGCUCUGCAACUACCUCUCAGAAUUCAAAAGCUUAUCAUAUACAAACUUCUCUGGAAUCCUCAGGAGAAAACAUUUGGAUUGAAAAAUUAAUUUUCAGUACCUCCCUCCCCCAUCUCUACCAAUAUUCUUGUCACACACAGAUAUAAUAAUCAACUUAGUUCUGAUUGUUUUGAAUGGAUCAUAAAAGAACAAAUGAACCAUAAGCAGCUUAAAAUAACAGCAAUCAAAACUCUGAAGUAGGGGAAUUUGACCAAACUAUGAGCCUAAGAACACACAAAUCCUUCACUUCUUUUGUAUAACAAGGCUUUUGUAUAACAAAAGGGGGGGAGGAAUUCCAACUGAAAAUUUAACUACCAGGUUUACAACUACUGUAGCCUCAGCCUGAACAGCAGAAUGUUGAAAGCACCCUCUUAAGAAAUAAGAUCCUUUGGUUUAGUAAAUUCAAUUAGUUCCUUCAUAUGCGGUUUUCUCUUUUGCUGUUGGUUGAACAACUCAGCCUAUAAGCAGUGAUCUGUAAGUAGUGAUCUACCCUUGGGGCCUAUCAAUUAUUUCUUCUAUCUAUUUACAGCGAGGUCAGUUGCAGACAGUCUGUGCUUCCACUGUAUUUGUCUGCAUUGUACUAGCUGUAAAAAAACCACACAUAAUAUUCAUUGAAACCUGUACCCUAGAAUACUAGUGUUUCCUGUUUAAAAUAUUCAUAGGUGUAAUUUCUGCCCUGGGACGAUCUAUUGUUCUUCCAUGGUACACACUGUGUACACAGGAUUUUGUAAACAGUGUUCAAGUAGAUGGUAUUUAGGAAUCUGCAGAAGUAUCCAGUUUCAGAGAUAGAUAUCUAUUACCACCGACCAAGGGAAAAAUAAAAAUGCAUAGAUACCUUUCUGCAUAUGAAGCCAGGUCUAAGAAUGUUUUCUUAGUAAAACCGGGGGCUGUUAGCAUAACAUGGCAUAUACCCCGUAUAUUUGCUGAGAACACAACCUUUGUUGUAAAAAAUCUUGAAAACUACUGUAAAGAUCCCGAAGUCGUACCAAAAAGUUCAGUAGAGAAAUUGUACUGGAUGGCUGACUGGCAGCUUAGAACAAAUAAAACCUAAUUCCACUUUACAACUUAUUUGAAGGUUUUCCACAUUGUAGAGUGAAAACUUGUAAUGCAUUCAUCUGCCUUAUAUUUCUAGGGUCUUAGUCCCCUACAUCAUUUCCCUCAAGUUUAAACACCGCUACUAUUGCCUAUUCAAUGUUUUUUUUUUCUCAUCAGAAUACUUUAAAUUACUGGAUUAUUUGAAAACAUUUGAUACUGUUAUACAGCUUUUCUUCACCUACAGAAAAUAUUCACAGAUAGACAUAGGCUGCUUUCAAAUAAAUGUUUUCAAACUAGUUUUAAAAGUUUAUGUACAAAAUUACAUCCGUGAACAACUCAGAUGUUUUGAAAAUCAGUUUGUGUCCUGGGCUAUAUCUGCUGGUUUUGUCUGGUCAUAGAUUUUUAAUGCGCUUCAAGCACACAUCUGUACCAACCAGAAGAGCCUUUGUACUGAGAAAAGAAUCUCAUUAAUACGAACUAGGACUUCGUAACAUUUCUUACAUGAUGGUAGAGAUUUAAGGCUUGGAAAAUAUUUUUCAGUAGCUCAAACUUACGUCUUAUUUGUGUCCCACUUCAGCAUCCAGGAAGUUGAUACUGCAUGCAGGAUCGGGGCUUUAAUCAUUCAUACAGCAACAUCCAGAGCUCAGUCAGACUGCCUGAAUCUGCUCACAUGACAACUCACUACACACAGGCCUUGAUUGCACUGCUGCUAGCCUUCUUAGGGCAUUUCUUCCUACUAAGGUUACCCUAGUUUAUAGCCUGUUGAUAUUGCUGUUCUUUGAUUCCGUAGUAGGUUUUUUGUUUGCUUUUGAGUCAAGGGCAGUGGGUCUUUGGUUUGUAUCAGUAAUGAACUUCAUUCUCAGCAUCUUCUCCCUGAAAAAUACUAGACCUCAAUAACAAAAAUUGCUGAAAACCAUUAAGGAGACAUUGUCAGUUUUUCCACGUAUAAUACGGCAUUUCAGAGAAGCCUGUAUACUGUGUUCUGAAAUGCAAUCAAGUCCUUCAAGCUUUUCCUAACACUUCAAAGGUGACUACUUCCAGAAAAUGACCACCACCUUACACUGAAACACAUGCAAAUAGAAGAUGACUGCUAUUUUAAGAAGAAACAUCUAACUGACAAGUCUUGAAAUGCUGCCAUUCUUGUUAAUUUAAUUUCUUCCUUAUUUAUUUGGACCUUUGCUGAAUCACCACUAUGAAAAUCCAUUAGUUUAUUCUUAAGCUGAGAGCAAAGGCACUCCCUAAAUUGGCAUUGAGGGAUCACUGCAGAGGAAUUCUAUACCUUCCUUUGAGCGUACGUUGAGCUUUUCAGGCCAGCAUAAACACACUCACUGGGAUUUUGAUGCACUGAUGCUUCAUUGUUGUUGUUAUUUUUAAACUGUACCCCAGGAUAGGAGGAGGUAGAAGAAUUGCAAAGCUUGAAUCCAAUGCACUAUUUCAGCACAGCUCCCAGCUUCAUCAUGCUUCCACUAGCACUUUCUGGAGGCACAUUCUGCCUUGUCUCCUUUACAUCACUCACACUGGCCCACCUGGAAUCAGCUGCAUUCAAAUAAACUAUCAGGAAAUACAUCAGCCUGUGAAAGUGACUUCAAGGCCAUAAGGACUGCAUUAGAACAGUAGAAGUACAUCAGGGCCUAAACUUACGAUGGUUAUCCAUCUAUUACUUACAAUGAAGUUGCUUGCAAGAAGAAUACUGAGCAGAAAAAAAAGACAAAACAAGAACAGAACAGUAAUGAACUGAUUACCUGUCAACCACACGGAAGGAAGCAAUGUCUGGCUGCACAUGCUAGUAUAUUAGAAUGGUUGAAGAACACGUUAUUCAGCCAAAGUCCUAUCCUGGUGCUCUUUAUUUUCUUUUAUUAGUUUCAUUUAGAGAAUUAGAAGCCGAUACUUCUGGAAGCUCUACAACAGCAGUAUACAUUUUAAUAAGAGAAUAACUGAGUAGUCAUAGAUUUGUUAAUAAUUUCUGUCUCCUCACAGAAGUCCAGGAGACAUUUUCAGUUAAUCUUCUUUGUAAUAACAUUAGAGUAAUAUAAUUAGCCACACAAAAGGAAUAACUGUAACGGGAGGGCCAUCCCCUGUCCCUAUGGGAGACCUGGGGUGAACCUGCAGCUCACAGCUCACCUUGCUUUGCCCGCGGUCCACCCCUACCCGGCACUGCCGAAGCGAGGCUGUUUGUCCGGGGCAGCACCCGGGCAGGUGACAGCUCUACCGCUGGGGCACAGCGCAGAAGGAGAAAGGACAGCUGUCUACUGCCUCAGUUUCACUGCAGCAUCAAGCAGGAGCAGCCGGUAAAGCACGCGAUUCGAACAUAUGCAGGAAAGACGACGGCACUUCUCCACGAACCUGUUAAUGUUUAUUCUCCUUGCAAGUAUCUAUGUAUCUAUAUAACGACAGACAGAAGCCUGCACCCAACUGCUCCGACUUGAGAGCCGGCAGCAUGAAUUCCUUCUCCUUUUGCCCGUCCCGUCAGCUCAAGACAUCACGGCUCAAGCACAAGUGGCCUCAGCCGCUCGAGGACUCAUUCCAUCUUUUUACCGGCGUUUAAGAGCCUUAACGUUUGUUUUGAAACAUUACGACUUCAAGCAGCGAGUCGACGACGAGUCUAGGAGUGCCGUACCUUAUCCCACAGCCGCUGCCGCUAGCAGCGCACCCCCGGCUGGCACCGCACCGCCCGGAACCCAGCGCCCGCGCCCCCUGCGGGGCUCCGACAGCCAAAGAAAGGGCUGCCGAGCCGCCCCGGGACGG
Molecule: non-coding RNA, 4606 nt
Organism: Phasianus colchicus (ring-necked pheasant)
Lineage: Eukaryota; Metazoa; Chordata; Aves; Galliformes; Phasianidae
Source: RefSeq, a predicted model, not a curated record